GACGAACGCUGGCGGCGUGCUUAACACAUGCAAGUCGAACGGUAAGGCCCUUCGGGGUACACGAGUGGCGAACGGGUGAGUAACACGUGGGUGAUCUGCCCUGCACUUCGGGAUAAGCCUGGGAAACUGGGUCUAAUACCGGAUAGGACCACUGCCUGCAUGGGUGGGGGUGGAAAGCUUUUGCGGUGUGGGGUGGGCCCGCGGCCUAUCAGCUUGUUGGUGGGGGGAGGGCCUACCAAGGCGACGACGGGUAGCCGGCCUGAGAGGGUGACCGGCCACACUGGGACUGAGAUACGGCCCAGACUCCUACGGGAGGCAGCAGUGGGGAAUAUUGCACAAUGGGCGCAAGCCUGAUGCAGCGACGCCGCGUGAGGGAUGACGGCCUUCGGGUUGUAAAUCUCUUUCAGCACCGACGAAGCGCAAGUGACGGUAGGUGCAGAAGAAGGACCGGCCAACUACGUGCCAGCAGCCGCAGUAA
This 478-nucleotide ribosomal RNA is filed under the name uncultured bacterium. RNAcentral's name for it is "partial 16S ribosomal RNA". It matches the Rfam family "Bacterial small subunit ribosomal RNA", at positions 28 to 523 of the family's 1533-position model. The record is from RNAcentral.